AGCAGCCGCGGUAAUUCCAGCUCCAAUAGCGUAUAUUAAAGUUGUUGCAGUUAAAAAGCUCGUAGUUGAAUUUCGGGGUUAGUAGGUUGGUCAUGCCACUGGUAUGUACUGAUCUUACUGAUUCCUCCUUCCUGAUGAACCGUAAUGCCAUUAAUUUGGUGUUGCGGGGAGACUGGACUGUUACUUUGAAAAAAUUAGAGUGUUUAAAGCAGGCUAACGCUUGAAUACAUUAGCAUGGAAUAAUGAAAUAGGACGUUCGAUCCUAUUUUGUUGGUCUCUAGGAUUGACGUAAUGAUUAAUAGGGAUAGUUGGGGGCAUUAGUAUUCAAUUGUCAGAGGUGAAAUUCUUGGAUUUAUUGAAGACUAACUACUGCGAAAGCAUUUGCCAAGGAUGUUUUCAUUAAUCAAGAACGAAAGUUAGGGGAUCGAAGACGAUCAGAUACCGUCGUAGUCUUAACCAUAAACUAUGCCGACUAGGGAUCGGAUGAUGUUAAUUUUUUAAUGACUCAUUCGGCGCCUUACG
Molecule: ribosomal RNA, 522 nt
Filed under: uncultured Glomus
Lineage: Eukaryota; Fungi; Glomeromycota; Glomeromycetes; Glomerales; Glomeraceae
Description: SSU rRNA
Rfam family: Eukaryotic small subunit ribosomal RNA
Source: RNAcentral